GGAGGGCCAGUGGGCCAGUGGAAGAGCCUCCGCUUGAGAUGCAGAAGGCCCUAGGUUCAAUUCCGGGCAUCUCCA
Molecule: transfer RNA, 75 nt
Filed under: Sphaerodactylus townsendi
Lineage: Eukaryota; Metazoa; Chordata; Lepidosauria; Squamata; Sphaerodactylidae
Description: tRNA-Leu
Source: RNAcentral